UACACGCUGUGACUAGCAUAUCAAUAAGCGGAGGAAAAGAAACUAACAAGGAUUCCCUAGUAACGGCGAGUGAAGCGGGAAGAGCUCAAAUUUGAAAUCUUCAAGGUUUUACCUUGACGAAUUGUAGUUUAAAGAAGUGUUUUCUGCUGAAGUUUUGGUAAAAGUUCUUUGGAAUAGGACAUCAUAGAGGGUGAGAAUCCCGUAUUUGACCAUUAUUUUCAGCUUUGUGAUACACUUUCAAAGAGUCGGAUUGUUUGGGAAUGCAGUCCAAAAUGGGUGGUAAAUUUCAUCUAAAGCUAAAUAUUGGCGAGAGACCGAUAGCGAACAAGUACCGUGAGGGAAAGAUGAAAAGAACUUUGAAAAGAGAGUUAAACAGUACGUGAAAUUGUCAAAAGGGAAGCGUUUGACACCAGUGUUGUUUUUCUGAAAAUCAAUUAAAGAACUGUUUAUGCUAAGCUGUUUAGACUUUAUCAGCUAACUGUUUAGUUUUGAGCUUUUCUUUAAUGCACUUUUCAGUUAACAAGUCAACAUCAAUUUCUUUUGCUGUAAAAAAGCUUGAGGAAGGUGGCUUGAGAUUCGUCUUAAGUGUUUAUAGCCUCUUGCCUAUGCAGUCGGAGAGAUUGAGGUCUGCAGCGUAGAUCCUUCGGGGCUAAAUGCAUUUGUGCUAAGUUAUCAGCAUUUUAUAGACAACUUGUUGACUAUGAUUUGUCUUGUAGCUUACUCGCUUAUGUUAUUUUACCUACGCUUAGGAUGUUGAGCGCAUGUCUCUCUCU
RNAcentral lists this ribosomal RNA (773 nucleotides) under uncultured Neocallimastigales. RNAcentral's name for it is "partial large subunit ribosomal RNA". It matches the Rfam family "Eukaryotic large subunit ribosomal RNA", at positions 22 to 616 of the family's 3401-position model. The record is from RNAcentral. Lineage: Eukaryota; Fungi; Neocallimastigomycota; Neocallimastigomycetes; Neocallimastigales.